This 447-nucleotide ribosomal RNA is filed under the name uncultured bacterium. RNAcentral's name for it is "bacterial SSU rRNA". It matches the Rfam family "Bacterial small subunit ribosomal RNA", at positions 355 to 825 of the family's 1533-position model. The record is from RNAcentral.
UCGGGAAUUUUGGGCAAUGGGGGAAACCCUGACCCAGCAACGCCGCGUGAAGGAUGAAGUAUUUCGGUAUGUAAACUUCGAAAGAAUAGGAAGAAUAAAUGACGGUACUAUUUAUAAGCACCGGCUAACUUCGUGCCAGCAGCCGCGGUAAUACGAAGGGUGCAAGCGUUAAUCGGAAUUACUGGGCGUAAAGCGUGCGUAGGCGGUUGGCUAAGUCAGAUGUGAAAGCCCUGGGCUCAACCUGGGAAUGGCAUUUGAAACUGGCCGGCUAGAGUGUGAUAGAGGAUGGCGGAAUUCCCGGUGUAGCGGUGAAAUGCGUAGAGAUCGGGAGGAACAUCCGUGGCGAAGGCGGCCAUCUGGAUCAACACUGACGCUGAGGCACGAAAGCGUGGGGAGCAAACAGGAUUAGAUACCCCAGUAGUCCCUGAGCGGGCUGGCAAGGCGCAU